UUGACUUAUUUGUAAAUCAUACUCAGAGAGGCCAAUAAUAGUAAGAGUUGGGUUGUGUCCCUCCGGCGGGAGGCCCCCUGGAGAGGGGGCCCCGUCCGCCGAAGCAACGGUAUGGGGUAACGUUCGCGAUGGUUUGUGGGAGUUUUGCAACUCUUUAAUGAUCCCUCCGCUGGUUCACCAACGGAGA
RNAcentral lists this unclassified non-coding RNA (187 nucleotides) under uncultured fungus. Its description in RNAcentral is "sequence contains ITS1". Lineage: Eukaryota; Fungi. The record is from RNAcentral.